AUUGAACGCUGGCUGCAUGCCUUACACAUGCAAGUCGAACGGCAGCACGGGAGCAAUCCUGGUGGCGAGUGGCGAACGGGUGAGUAAAGUAUCGGAACGUGCCCAGUCGUGGGGGAUAACGUAGCGAAAGUUACGCUAAUACCGCAUACGAUCUAUGGAUGAAAGCGGGGGAUCGCAAGACCUCGCGCGAUUGGAGCGGCCGAUAUCAGAUUAGGUAGUUGGUGGGGUAAAGGCUCACCAAGCCGACGAUCUGUAGGUGGUCUGAGAGGACGACCAGCCACACUGGGACUGAGACAGGGCCGAGACUCCGACGGGAGGCAGCAGUGGGGAAUUUUGGACAAUGGGCGAAAGCCUGAUCCAGCCAUGCCGCGUGCAGGAUGAAGGCCUUCGGGUUGUAAACUGCUUUUGUACGGAACGAAAAGGUUUGGCCUAAUAAGCUGAGCUCAUGACGGUACCGUAAGAAUAAGCACCGGCUAACUACGUGCCAGCAGCCGCAGUAA
This 500-nucleotide ribosomal RNA is filed under the name uncultured bacterium. Its description in RNAcentral is "partial 16S ribosomal RNA". It matches the Rfam family "Bacterial small subunit ribosomal RNA", at positions 30 to 523 of the family's 1533-position model. The record is from RNAcentral.